Mobula hypostoma (lesser devil ray) is the source of this 1800-nucleotide long non-coding RNA. RefSeq lists it as uncharacterized. The transcript is spliced from 5 exons. Lineage: Eukaryota; Metazoa; Chordata; Chondrichthyes; Myliobatiformes; Myliobatidae. The record is from RefSeq and is a predicted model, not a curated record.
CAACAUGGAAGCAGAGAAAGACAUACAGCCCUAAAAUGACCUCAUUCAGCAUGUGGUCCAAGAGGUGCACAUGAUGUUGUUCAGCCUGUUAAGUUCUUCCAGUUGAGAUGUUGAUAUCCAGGACUGCCUUAGAGAUGAAAGGGAUGAAAGAAGUGAGAGCAUAUCAAAGGAUUUCCAAGGCAUCUGGAGACACAACUACCAAUGGUUGAACUUGGUCCUUGACUGAGUGCAAUGAACCAUUACAGAAGCUAUAUUGAUCCAUAAUUUGUCACUCUGAGAUCACAACAAUCGGUCCCGACUGUGCCUACAAGCUGUGGGGAUCUGAGAUAAAACAGGCUUGACCUGAGUCCUGGUGUCUGGGUCAGUAUUUUCCUCCAGUAAGAUAUGAACAUAUGCACCACCAUUUUCCAGAUGACUGAGGUUAAAGACAUGAUUUGAAAUGCCCAAGGAGUAAUACAGACAUCCAAUCGCAUAAACUGGACUAGGUCACUCAGACUUCAAGUUCAAGUUUAAGUGAGUUCUGCAAUAUCUCACACCAACAUGAGCAUGUUGUACCACUUCUUUCCCAGAUACACCUUGACACUAUGAUUCUGCAUGGAACAUCAAAAAUGUGCAAAGCUGGGAGCUACAUUUUUCAGUAAAUCUUUUCCAUCUUUCAGCCAACUUUUCAUGGAUUUUAAAUACAGGCCUUAUGGCAGAACUGAUUUAUGUAAUUUUCCUAGCACAAUCAUCAUCUACAUAAAUAGCCUGUACCCGUUUUACCAACUUUUUUAUUCUCUGCCAGCUUUUGAGCUGCCUUCACAUGUUUUCUUGGUUGGAAUGAAUAGAUCCAUGCUGUGUCCUAAAGUGAUCUUACUGAAAGGGAUAAAAGAAUUAGCCUCACUCAGGGUUUUUGUUGCUAAUGGUUCCCCAGUGACUGAUGCUGAAAACUCCACACAUCAUAUGGGUUUGAACUGUAAUGCCAUUUGCUGUAAAGCAGCUUGCUAAUGAUUUCUCCAUUCUCAUGUCACUAUUUAAUCAGGGCAAAGCAGCGGAAAUUAUCCUUGAAGGGCCUACCUGGAGUCAUUAUCUUCAAAACAUGAGAUAUUUGGACAAUUUUGUUCGAAGAGUAGACUCAGAAUUCCAAUAAUGCUCAAAGUUUGCAGCCGAUUGUACCAGUGAAACUAUAAAAUCCUAAUGCUUGGGUGUUUUUGAAGUAUUGCAAAAGCAAGAUUAUUCUCAUGCCUUUGGUAAGUUGUGGAGCUGAUCAAAGCUGGCUUCAAAUAUUGCGCUGCAUGGUAAUAACAGAUGUGAUCUUAAGAAUGGUUCUGAAUUAAAUCUGGAGUCAUAAGUCAAAGAAUCAAUAGAAUUGGAUGAAGGCCAGGGGAAGGCAUUAAUAUGGAGGCAGAGCAAGAAGAAGAAAGGACAGAUUCUUGAGAAGUUCUGGAUUAACGAGAUUCAGGGGUGAAGCAGAGUCAUUUAUUUAAGAUAUGGCAUUUAUUGAAGAGGCACACUUUGUUGUAGAGAGAGAGAAGGAGGAUGAGGUGAAAUGGAUCACUCUUUAAAAGAAUUGCCAGUCGCAUGAUAAGAGUCCUUCAGUAUUCUGAGAUCAUAGUGAUUCAAACCUGGAUGAUAUACUAAACACUUAGUGCAACUGAGCAUUAUGCUUAACUUUCGUCAUUCAAUUCUAUUGAUUUUAAUACUAUCAAAUUUUAGAAGUAAACUCCAGUGAAGCUUCCACUAUAUGACAUUUUGAGCCUUAAUGAGUAAGGAUGAUUCUCCACUCUCUGAAGAUGAAAUUGAAAAGCCACCAGCAGUACA